UCGGGGCGGGCAGCGGGCGGCCCCAACCCCGACCCGCGAUCUCGACCUCGGCCCUGGCCCAGACCCUGUCCCCCAGACCCCGGACCCCGGCCUCCCCGACGGCCGCCUUGACAGGAGUGGCGGUGUAAUUGCAAGAUGACUCACGCUGGAUGUUUUUAUUCUCCUGAGACCCAACGGAGUGCUAGAGCUGGAGAACCUGGUGACUGAGCUCCGGGUGUUUUUAGAGCCAGCUUCAAGUCCGCAUGCAGAUGCACAAUUAUGGAAGAGCUCUUUGCACAAUCGGAGACCGUCAUUCAGAGCGUUAUUACCUCCAGGAUGAAAUCCAGUCUGUCUUGCUCUCUGCAGACUGACCUCAGGCUUGCUUUCUUUUCUUCCUUUUUUUUUUUUUUUUUCUUUAAAAUUUUAGGAAAUACUAAUAUCUUUAUCCUGGCAUAAAGCAGUAUUUUAUACAUUAA
Molecule: long non-coding RNA, 455 nt
Organism: Neogale vison (American mink)
Lineage: Eukaryota; Metazoa; Chordata; Mammalia; Carnivora; Mustelidae
Exons: 3
Source: RefSeq, a predicted model, not a curated record